CGGUCAUUAUGGUUAAAACCCUAAAUUUACCUUCAAAUUCAAGAUAAAUACAUGCUUUUUCCGAUAAAAACAGUAGAUAUCACAAAAACGUUGCAUUCUCUUCAUACUUUGUCGACAUUCGAGCCCACCCUAGAUUUAGAUAUAGAAAUGAAUACAAAUAGGAAACAGACUAUAGCACGAACUCACGUUGAUGAAAAGUCCAUUUGACCCUGUUUCUCACUGUUUCACAUUUUUCCCGAGCAAAAUGUCUAUUUUUGAUAUUUUUCAAAGCCUUAUUAAAAAAAAAAUGUCAUUUCUCUAUAGGUUACAAGAGCGCAAUUAUUCGUAAUGCAUUUUCCAUAGGGUACCACUAGUGUUCCGUAUUUUUUUUCUCGAAGACUACAC
This 384-nucleotide long non-coding RNA is filed under the name Mytilus galloprovincialis (Mediterranean mussel). Lineage: Eukaryota; Metazoa; Mollusca; Bivalvia; Mytilida; Mytilidae. The record is from RNAcentral.